RNAcentral lists this ribosomal RNA (406 nucleotides) under uncultured bacterium. Its description in RNAcentral is "partial 16S ribosomal RNA". It matches the Rfam family "Bacterial small subunit ribosomal RNA", at positions 30 to 526 of the family's 1533-position model. The record is from RNAcentral.
AUUGAACGCUGGCGGCAGGCCUAACACAUGCAAGUCGAACGAGUGGCGGACGGGUGAGUAAUGUGUGGGAAACUGCCUGAUGGAGGGGGAUAAAUACUGGAAACGGUCGCUAAUACCGCAUACCAUCGGAUGUGCCCAGAUGGGAUUAGCUAGUAGGUGGGGUAAAGGCUCACCUAGGCCACGAUCCCUAGCUGGUCUGAGAGGAGGACCAGCCACACUGGAACUGAGACACGGUCCAGACUCCUACGGGAGGCAGCAGUGGGGAAUAUUGCACAAUGGGCGCAAGCCUGAUGCAGCCAUGCCGCGUGUAUGAAGAAGGCCUUCGGGUUGUAAAGUACUUUCAGCGGGGAGGCGUUACCCGCAGAAGAAGCACCGGCUAACUCCGUGCCAGCAGCCGCGGUAAUUC